UGGGCUAUCGCCAAGCGGUAAGGCACAGAACUUUGACUCCUGCAUUCGUUGGUUCAAAUCCAACUGGCCCAG
This 72-nucleotide transfer RNA is filed under the name [Clostridium] clostridioforme CAG:511. RNAcentral's name for it is "Clostridium clostridioforme CAG:511 transfer RNA-Gln(TTG)". It matches the Rfam family "tRNA". Rfam says of the family: Transfer RNA (tRNA) molecules are approximately 80 nucleotides in length. The record is from RNAcentral. Lineage: Bacteria; Bacillati; Bacillota; Clostridia; Lachnospirales; Lachnospiraceae.